This 119-nucleotide small nucleolar RNA is filed under the name Meriones unguiculatus (Mongolian gerbil). RNAcentral describes it as "Small nucleolar RNA SNORA17 (ENSMUGG00000007765.1)". It matches the Rfam family "Small nucleolar RNA SNORA17". From Rfam's summary of the family: snoRNA ACA 17 belongs to the H/ACA family of snoRNAs and is predicted to guide pseudouridylation of the 28S rRNA at positions U4659 and U4598. It shares the same host gene together with ACA43. NB This family has a high threshold value to exclude a large number of closely related sequences that do not appear to have conserved H and ACA boxes, and may be pseudogenes. Lineage: Eukaryota; Metazoa; Chordata; Mammalia; Rodentia; Muridae. The record is from RNAcentral.
CCUACCCCUAGACGGGUUGCAGGUUUGGAGGCUGUGUCUGUAGAAGGCAGAGAGAAGAGAGGCUAUGUCUAUGUUCAGUGUCUGCUUAUGAACAUCUGAAUGAUUAGCAGCCUAACAUU